CCUACGGGAGGCAGCAGUGAGGAAUAUUGGUCAAUGGGCGAGAGCCUGAACCAGCCAAGUCGCGUGAAGGAUGAAGGAUCUAUGGUUUGUAAACUUCUUUUAUAUGGGAAUAAAGUGAAGAACGUGUUCCUUUUUGUAUGUACCAUAUGAAUAAGCAUCCGCUAACUCCGUGCCAGCAGCCGCGGUAAUACGGAGGAUGCGAGCGUUAUCCGGAUUUAUUGGGUUUAAAGGGUGCGUAGGUGGUUAAUUAAGUCAGCGGUGAAAGUUUGUGGCUUAACCAUAAAAUUGCCGUUGAAACUGGUUGACGUGAGCAUAUUUGAGGUAGGCGGAAUGCGUGGUGUAGCGGUGAAAUGCAUAGAUAUCACGCAGAACUCCGAUUGCGAAGGCAGCUUACCAAUCUAUAUCUGACGUUGAGGCACGAAAGCGUGGGGAGCAAACAGGAUUAGAUACCCCUGUAGUC
Molecule: ribosomal RNA, 460 nt
Filed under: uncultured bacterium
Lineage: Bacteria
Description: partial 16S ribosomal RNA
Rfam family: Bacterial small subunit ribosomal RNA
Source: RNAcentral